AGAGUUUGAUCCUGGCUCAGGAUGAACGCUGGAGGCGCGCCUAACACAUGCAAGUCGAACGAUUAAAGCACCUUCGGGUGUGUAUAAAGUGGCGAACGGCUGAGUAACACGUGGGCAACCUGCCCCUCUCAUUGGGAUAGCCACGGGAAACCGUGGAUAAUACCGAAUACUUCGAGACUUCCGCAUGAAAGACUCGAGAAAGCUCC
Molecule: ribosomal RNA, 206 nt
Filed under: uncultured Atopobium sp.
Lineage: Bacteria; Bacillati; Actinomycetota; Coriobacteriia; Coriobacteriales; Atopobiaceae
Description: partial 16S ribosomal RNA
Rfam family: Bacterial small subunit ribosomal RNA
Source: RNAcentral